GACGAACGCUGGCGGCGUGCCUAAUACAUGCAAGUAGAACGCUGAAGGAGGAGCUUGCUUCUCUGGAUGAGUUGCGAACGGGUGAGUAACGCGUAGGUAACCUGCCUGGUAGCGGGGGAUAACUAUUGGAAACGAUAGCUAAUACCGCAUAAUAGUAGAUGUUGCAUGACAUUUACUUAAAAGGUGCAAUUGCAUCACUACCAGAUGGACCUGCGUUGUAUUAGCUAGUUGGUGGGGUAACGGCUCACCAAGGCGACGAUACAUAGCCGACCUGAGAGGGGGAUCGGCCACACUGGGACUGGGACACGGCCCAGACUCCUACGGGAGGCAGCAGUAGGGAAUCUUCGGCAAUGGACGAAAGUCUGACCGAGCAACGCCGCGUGAGUGAAGAAGGUUUUCGGAUCGUAAAGCUCUGUUGUAAGAGAAGAACGAGUGUGAGAGUGGAAAGUUCACACUGUGACGGUAUCUUACCAGAAAGGGACGGCUAACUACGUG
RNAcentral lists this ribosomal RNA (495 nucleotides) under uncultured bacterium. RNAcentral's name for it is "partial 16S ribosomal RNA". It matches the Rfam family "Bacterial small subunit ribosomal RNA", at positions 28 to 507 of the family's 1533-position model. The record is from RNAcentral.